This 301-nucleotide ribosomal RNA is filed under the name uncultured bacterium. Its description in RNAcentral is "partial 16S ribosomal RNA". It matches the Rfam family "Bacterial small subunit ribosomal RNA", at positions 509 to 807 of the family's 1533-position model. The record is from RNAcentral.
CAGUAGCCGCGGUAAUACGGAGGGUGCAAGCGUUGUCCGGAUUUAUUGGGUUUAAAGGGUGCGUAGGCGGCUAUUUAAGUCAGCGGUGAAAGACUCCGGCUCAACCGGAGCAGUGCCAUUGAUACUGGAUAGCUUGAGUGUUGGAGGGGUACAUGGAAUUGAUGGUGUAGCGGUGAAAUGCAUAGAUACCAUCAGGAACACCGAUAGCGAAGGCAUUGUACUGGCCAACAACUGACGCUGAGGCACGAAAGCAUGGGGAGCAAAUGGGAUUAGAUACCCCCGUAGUCCCUGUCUCUUAUAC